Molecule: ribosomal RNA, 1001 nt
Filed under: Rodentolepis nana
Lineage: Eukaryota; Metazoa; Platyhelminthes; Cestoda; Cyclophyllidea; Hymenolepididae
Description: SSU rRNA
Rfam family: Eukaryotic small subunit ribosomal RNA
Source: RNAcentral
GGACUCUACUCGUUAAUGGAUAACUGUAAUAACUCUAUGAGCUAAUACAUGCCACGAAGCCCUGACCCCGGGCUCCCUCGGGGAAUGGGUGCACUUAUUACAACAGAAGCCAACCAAUCUCCGCGUGCAUUCCCUCCUUCGGGAGGUGUGUGCGCGGGCUGCAGCACUUCUGGUGACUCUGGAUAAUUGUUACAGAUCGCAGUCGGCUUUACGUCGGCGACGGGUCCUUCAAAUGUCUGCCCUAUCAACUUUCGAUGGUAGGUGACCUGCCUACCAUGGUGAUAACGGGUAACGGGGAAUCAGGGUUCGAUUCCGGAGAGGGAGCCUGAGAAACGGCUACCACUUCCAAGGGAGGCAGCAGGCGCGCAAAUUACCCACUCCCGGUACGGGGAGGUGGUGACGAAAAAUACCGAUGCGGGACUCAUUUACGAGGCUCCGUAAUCGGAAUGAGUGGACUCUAAAUCCUUUCACGAGGAUCAAUUGGAGGGCAAGUCUGGUGCCAGCAGCCGCGGUAACUCCAGCUCCAAUAGCGUAUAUUAAAGUUGCUGCAGUUAAAAAGCUCGUAGUUGGAUCUCGGUAGCAUUGUUGCCUGCUCAGUUGUCAUGCUCUGCGGCGUGCAUCACAUCGUGUGGGUCGGCUGUGCAUUGUCCACGCUCCUAUGGGGGCUGGGCGUGUGCGCUUGGCUUCAUCACGGUGGGUGUACACAAAAACCGCAGUGUAUUGAGCUGGCGUGGCGAUGGUGCCACCUUUGAGCCAUGUCUGUGGUGUAACAGCCACAGGUGUAUGCGAGUGUCGGGCAGUGCUCUGCACCUUCUGUGGGGCCUAGCCGGCUCGCCUGCAUGCCAGUGGAUGCCCUUUAAAAGGUGUUCAUGGGCGGAUGGCACGUUUACUUUGAACAAAUUUGAGUGCUCAAAUCAGGCCGAUGUCGCCUGAAAAGUUUUGCAUGGAAUAAUGGAAUAGGACUUCGGUUCUAUUUCGUUGGUUUUCGGAUCCGAAGUAAU